This 519-nucleotide ribosomal RNA is filed under the name Triticum aestivum (bread wheat). RNAcentral's name for it is "partial small subunit ribosomal RNA". Lineage: Eukaryota; Viridiplantae; Streptophyta; Magnoliopsida; Poales; Poaceae. The record is from RNAcentral.
AUGGCAACCAUGGUGACCAUGAGUUCCUUCGCCGGUGCGGCCGUCCUGCCGCGCGGCUCGGUUGGUCGCUUCGGCGCCCUGUCUCUGCCAGCGCUGGGCCGAUGCGCCCUCGUCGUCAGGGCACAGACCGAGGGCCCCAGCGCACCACCGCCAAACAAACCCAAAGCGAACACCUCGAUAUGGGGCGCGCUGGCAUUCAGUGGCCCUGCGCCGGAGCGCAUCAACGGGCGCCUUGCCAUGGUAGGCUUCGUGACGGCGCUUGCGGUGGAGGCAGGGCGCGGCGACGGGCUCCUCUCGCAGCUCGGCAGUGGCACCGGGCAGGCGUGGUUCGCCUACUCCGUGGCAGUGCUAACCGUGGCGUCGCUGGUGCCACUACUCCAGGGCGAGAGCGCCGAGGGCAGAGCCGGCGCCAUCAUGAACGCCAACGCGGAGCUCUGGAACGGCCGCUUCGCCAUGCUCGGACUCGUCGCACUCGCGGCCACCGAGAUCAUCACCGGCGCGCCUUUUAUCAACGUGUAA